Molecule: ribosomal RNA, 301 nt
Filed under: uncultured bacterium
Lineage: Bacteria
Description: partial 16S ribosomal RNA
Rfam family: Bacterial small subunit ribosomal RNA
Source: RNAcentral
CAGCCGCCGCGGGAAUACGUAGGUCCCGAGCGUUGUCCGGAUUUAUUGGGCGUAAAGCGAGCGCAGGCGGUUAGAUAAGUCUGAAGUUAAAGGCUGUGGCUUAACCAUAGUACGCUUUGGAAACUGUUUAACUUGAGUGCAAGAGGGGAGAGUGGAAUUCCAUGUGUAGCGGUGAAAUGCGUAGAUAUAUGGAGGAACACCGGUGGCGAAAGCGGCUCCCUGGCUUGUAACUGACGCUGAGGCUCGAAAGCGUGGGGAGCAAACAGGAUUAGAUACCCGGGUAGUCCCUGUCUCUUAUACA